CGCAAAACCCUGCUUAGAGAACAAGAGAGAUGUGGGCACAAACCGAGCUGCUGAGGUGCGCGAUGGACAGAUCAUGCAGGCUGCUGAGUAGAGAGAGUGAAGUCAGCAAAGAAGACAAAAAGAACAGCCAAGAAGGCAGGAGGAAAACCAAAAUUGGUCACAGAAGCCAAAGAAGUGUGUGGAAAAAAAAAAAGGAAUGGCCAACUUUAUCGGAUGCUGCUGCUCGGUCAGGGGAGAUGAGAACAAACUUCCACUGAAUGCAGCAGCUUGGAAGUUCUUGGUGACUGUUUGGGGCAGAAUUUCUCUUCCAGUAACCAUGUCAUUAUUUUAGCUACUAUGGAAAUAAAUAUUAAUAAAUUUA
This 361-nucleotide long non-coding RNA is filed under the name Homo sapiens (human). RNAcentral's name for it is "HSALNT0307885". Lineage: Eukaryota; Metazoa; Chordata; Mammalia; Primates; Hominidae. The record is from RNAcentral.